Molecule: RNA transcript, 1824 nt
Organism: Ochotona princeps (American pika)
Lineage: Eukaryota; Metazoa; Chordata; Mammalia; Lagomorpha; Ochotonidae
Gene name: caspase-2-like
Exons: 10
Source: RefSeq, a predicted model, not a curated record
AUGGCUUUCCUGGUGGCUGGGACCCUGCAGGCGGCUGCGCUACUGGCAGACACUCGCGACAGCUUGGGGAGAAAGGGAGAGUACAGCGUGCAGGGCCCGAGGAUGGCCCUGGUACUCAGCAGUCCCGGGGUGUCUGCCGCUACAAUCACUGCCCUGGAGGACGUGUUCCAGGCCUUGGGCUUUGAAAGCUGCCAGAGGAGGGAGGCCUUGGUCCAGAACUUCCUGCAGCAGCUAACUUCAUUCAGGAAGCACCUGGAUGCCCUUGGAGGUCCUGUGAGCUGUGCCCUCGUGGCCUUGGUGGCCCCACGUGGGCAGCUCAAGCAACCCCAGAAGCUGAUCUGGGAGCUGAGCUGUUGUGAGGUCCUCCAGGGCUGCCCCAAAGUCUUCCUGCUGCUUUCAAGUGGCCCUGAGGCCGCCCCAGUAUCUGGGCCCUUCCUCGCCAGCCUCCGGGAGCUCUGUGGCCGCUGUCCUCACUGGUCACUGCUGCAGCUGCUGACAGAGCUGUUCUGCAGGGUGACUGAUGAGUGUGGGGGGAAUGUCUGCUGCCCAGUCUUCCGGAGCUCUUUGAGAGGGGCACUGUGCCUGGCAAGCGACGAGUCCUGGAGGCUGGAGGCAGAACCCGCUCCCAGUGCUCAGUACGACAUGGCCGGGGCCAGGGCUGCCCUUCUUCUGGCUGUGACCCGAGGCCGGCCGGGAGCCGAGCAUGAUGUGGAGGCUCUAGGGGGCCUGUGUCGGACCCUGGGCUUCCAGACCACCUUGAGGAUAGACCCCACGGUCCAGGCGUUUUGGGAGGAGCUAGCCCGGUUUCAGGAGCAGCUGGACUCCCACCAGGGCCCUGUGAGUUGUGUGCUUGUGGCCCUGAUGGCCCAUGGCGGGCCACGCGGGCAGCUGCUGGGGGCUGAUGAGCAGGAGAUACAGCCGGAGGCGCUAGUGCAGGAGCUAUGCUGCUGCCCGGCACUGCGGAGCUGUCCCAAGAUCAUCCUGGUUCAGGCAUGCCGUGGCGGGAACAGGGAUGCUGGCAGGGGGUCGAGUGCUCUGCCCUGGUACCGGCGCUGGCUGUGGACACCCCCGACCCUCCCCUCCCAUGCAGAUGUGCUCCAGGUCCACGUUGAUGCUCAAGGUGGGUCCCGUCUUGCAGAGCCGAGGCUCAGAAACCUCCAGAGAUCAUUCCAGGGGUGUCUGCAGAGAUCCUGCUGCCGAGACACAGGAAAGGAAAAGUCUUCCUAGAACCCACGGGCCUCUCUCUGGGAAGGCCUAGCACCAAAGCUGGAAUCAGCCAGGCAAACUGGCUCUCCUGAGCUCUCAUGCCUGUCUCGCCUGCCCUGGAGCCAGAUGUGGGGCACCCUGGGAUGGAGGAGUCCCAGAGGUUACUCUUUCUGCAGGUGGCUGUCUCAGGGGUCCCACUUCAGGGAGCUGCAGCCAAGCAGACAUGCUGAUGGUCUACGCAGCCUCUGAGGCUUCCACCACCAAUCGGCCCUUGGGAAUCUGGGAAGGCGAAGGUAGGAGGCCUGGUCUGAUCCAGACUCUGGGUCCUUUGGUGUAGGCUGUGUGGCCUAUCGGGAUGAGAAGGGCUCUGACUUCAUCCAGACCCUGGUGGAUGUCCUCAGGGCGGACCCCAGGAGAGACCUCCUGGAACUGCUGACUGAGGUGAACAGGCGCGUGUGUGAGCUGGAUGUGCUGGGGCCCGACAGCGAGGAGCUGCGCAAGGCCUGCCUGGAGAUCCGGAGCUCGCUGCGGGGCCGGCUCUGCCUGCAGGUCUGAUGGUAGCGGCUUGCCCCAUCCAGCCCUGCUGUCCUCGCCUGCCGGUGGCCACCUAGGCCGGGU